UCUUCAUUUCACACUCUCUCUCGUCGACCGCGCUGGCGAGAGAGCGUGCGAAAUGAAGAGA
Molecule: microRNA precursor, 61 nt
Filed under: Pristionchus pacificus
Lineage: Eukaryota; Metazoa; Nematoda; Chromadorea; Rhabditida; Neodiplogasteridae
Description: mir-8364 microRNA precursor family
Rfam family: mir-8364 microRNA precursor family
Source: Rfam by way of RNAcentral